Molecule: long non-coding RNA, 634 nt
Filed under: Mytilus galloprovincialis (Mediterranean mussel)
Lineage: Eukaryota; Metazoa; Mollusca; Bivalvia; Mytilida; Mytilidae
Source: RNAcentral
UAUAUAUAUAUCUCUCAAUAAAUAACGCAUGCAAAUAUCAGCAAUAACAUAGUAUAAUCAUAAAUUGGAACAGUAAGAUGCUGGCCUUCCGAACCCCAGAUGUAACUUAUAUAUACAGAUUUACAAGACUUUAUCCUAUCAAUCAUACAAUAAUGAGAGAAUGAAAUAUACUUAUUUCAUUAAAUUACGAUAUAGAAAGUUGUCAACGUGGUGGGACAUCGUAUCUUUACAUCUUUAAUAAUUUGUAUAAAUUGCCAAAAACUGCUAUUAGAAAUUGUAAACAUUGAACUGGUUCCGCAUCUUGUCUCUAAAUAUGAAGCCACUUCCUGUUGAAGACCUGCUUAAGCGGGAAUAUUUAUAAAUACGGUAUUUGGUUCCUAGACGUCCUUAUGUGAGCUUUUAGUUAAAUAUUCCAAAAGAUGUAAAAAGAUAAAUAUAGGCUUGAAAUGCUAUCGCAUAGCUUAAGGUAAAAUAGCUGUAUAUCGAAAUGCAUCCUGUACCUAAAUAGCUUGCUUGACUUUAAGGGUUGUUUGGUUUAUUGUACUGCUCUGCUUGAUAGCCAGAUACGAUAUGCCAAAGUGCUAGUGCGACGCCGUAUUUAUACUUGACGGUGAAAUACAUCCGCGACUCACAG